GGGCGGCCGAUGGCGGAUUAGCUAGUUGGUGGGGUAAAGGCCUACCAAGGCGACGAUCCGUAGCUGGUCUGAGAGGACGACCAGCCACACUGGGACUGAGACACGGCCCAGACUCCUACGGGAGGCAGCAGUGGGGAAUUUUGGACAAUGGGGGCAACCCUGAUCCAGCAAUGCCGCGUGUGUGAAGAAGGCCUUCGGGUUGUAAAGCACUUUUGUCCGGAAAGAAAACACGUGCCCUAAUACGGUGUGUGGAUGACGGUACCGGAAGAAUAAGCACCGGCUAACUACGUGCCAGCAGCCGCGGUAAUACGUAGGGUGCGAGCGUUAAUCGGAAUUACUGGGCGUAAAGCGUGCGCAGGCGGUUUGCUAAGACCGAUGUGAAAUCCCCGGGCUUAACCUGGGAACUGCAUUGGUGACUGGCAGGCUAGAGUAUGGCAGAGGGGGGUAGAAUUCCACGUGUAGCAGUGAAAUGCGUAGAGAUGUGGAGG
This 488-nucleotide ribosomal RNA is filed under the name uncultured Pseudomonadota bacterium. RNAcentral describes it as "bacterial SSU rRNA". It matches the Rfam family "Bacterial small subunit ribosomal RNA", at positions 224 to 704 of the family's 1533-position model. Lineage: Bacteria; Pseudomonadati; Pseudomonadota. The record is from RNAcentral.